Molecule: ribosomal RNA, 114 nt
Filed under: Mnemiopsis leidyi (sea walnut)
Lineage: Eukaryota; Metazoa; Ctenophora; Tentaculata; Lobata; Bolinopsidae
Source: RNAcentral
GGAAACGGCCAUACUCAGUAGAAUAAACCCGAUGUCGGAAUUUAAGCAACUGCAGCUCAGGCCGGGCGAGAACUUGGAUGGGUGUCCACUAGGGAAUUCCCGGUACCUUAUCCU